UAAGUUUGAUUCUAACUUCCCAAUUUUCUAAGCCAUAAAAACACACAUGCAAGCUCCCCGUCCCCGUAAACUAAAUACCCAUUAAACACCCUCUCCCCGUUAUAACAAAAAUGUAUAAAAAUAAAUAAACAUUUACGUCUGCAGUGAUUAAACCUUAACCAUAAUGAAAGUUAGUUUAGGCUAAUGGCUUCAUAGGUUGACCAAAUCAGUGCCAGCCGUCGCGGUUAAACUGAAAACCUAGAAAAUACCCCCAGGGCCGUGAUAUUAAGGAAUAAAGAUUAAAAAUAAAAUUCUACGAAGUUUAAUUCCAUCUUAUACAUUAACCUCUUUAAUCCAUCUAAAUCAUCAUCACCAAAGUUUAAACCCAAACAAGGAUUAGAUACCCUUUUAUCCUAAACCUCAACUACCCAGGGUACUACGAGUUCAUACUUAAAACCCAAAGAUCUUGGCGGUGCUUCAAGCCAACCAGGGGAACCUGUAACUUAAUUUGAUAGCCCACGAUUUGCUCUACCUAAUUUAGUACACAGCUUGUAUAUUGCCGUCGUCAGCUUACCUCGAAAGAGGGAGUAAGCCCCUAAGACUACUCUAUCUCCCACGUCAGGUCAAAAUGCAGCCAACAAUUAGGCGAACUAUGGGUUACAACCUCUAUCCAAGAAACGGAACUUAAAAAUAAAAAAUUUUAAGUCAAGGAGGACUUGAAAGUAAACCGAUAUUCCACGAAUGAAUUAAGGCAAUCUGAAGCGUGUACACAUCGCCCGUCACUCUCGCCGAAAGGUGAGAUAAGUCGUAACACAGUAGAUGUAACGGAAGUUGCACCUU
RNAcentral lists this ribosomal RNA (819 nucleotides) under Euthalenessa festiva. Its description in RNAcentral is "12S ribosomal RNA". Lineage: Eukaryota; Metazoa; Annelida; Polychaeta; Phyllodocida; Sigalionidae. The record is from RNAcentral.